RNAcentral lists this ribosomal RNA (253 nucleotides) under uncultured bacterium. Its description in RNAcentral is "partial 16S ribosomal RNA". It matches the Rfam family "Bacterial small subunit ribosomal RNA", at positions 524 to 776 of the family's 1533-position model. The record is from RNAcentral.
UACAGAGGGUGCAAGCGUUGUUCGGAAUUAUUGGGCGUAAAGGGCGCGUAGGCGGUGCGGUAAGUCUGUAGUGAAAUCUCUGGGCUCAACUCAGAGUCUGCUGCAGAAACUGCCGUGCUUGAGUGUGGGAGAGGUGAGUGGAAUUCCCAGUGUAGAGGUGAAAUUCGUAGAUAUUGGGAAGAACACCGGUGGCGAAGGCGGCUCACUGGCUCAUUUCUGACGCUCAUGCACGACAGCGUGGGGAUCAAACAGG